This 488-nucleotide long non-coding RNA is filed under the name Homo sapiens (human). RNAcentral's name for it is "DARS1 antisense RNA 1". The record is from RNAcentral. Lineage: Eukaryota; Metazoa; Chordata; Mammalia; Primates; Hominidae.
CACGGAACUGGGCAGUGGACACCACCCUCCCUCGCAGGCUUCCAAAGUAAUUUGAAGGCCUUCCCUGACUUAAAGUGGAUGCUGCUUUGGAAAGCACUGGAAAAAUGGAUCCUGUCUUUCUUAGCCAAGGACUGGUCUCUUUUCUCCAAUGUGUCCCUAACAGAGUGGUGAGGCUGGCUCUUCCCACCAGUACAGGUAAUGUGGUAAAGAUAGGACCACGUGGACGAAGAGGUAUUACCUUCUCUAAUUACAGCUAACAAAGACCUAGGCCUAACCUCAACUGCACCUUCUGUCUCUGGGAAGUCACUUAUAGAGUAGACCUAUAAUUAGGAUUUGGUACCGGAAACAUAAUUCUCAGGAUGGUGAAUCUCUAAAUUAUGUCCCCAGAGACAUACCUGAGACAAAACCCUAAGGGCUGUUGGCCGUAAGAGGGUGUGUGUGGUAUUCUACAUUCAGUAGGGAUUUAUAAAUGAGGAUGAUAUCACUCA